AGAGUUUGAUCCUGGCUCAGGAUGAACGCUGGCGGCGUGCUUAACACAUGCAAGUCGAACGGAGUUAUUUCAAUUGCAGAUUGACGGAGCUUGCUCCAGAUUGAAGCGCCCGAGAUAACUUAGUGGCGGACGGGUGAGUAACGCGUGGGUAACCUGCCUAUCACAGGGGGAUAACGAUUAGAAAUGAUCGCUAAUACCGCAUAAGCGCACAAGGUCGCAUGACCAAGGGCGAAAAACUGAGGUGGUGAUAGAUGGACCCGCGUCUGAUUAGCUAGUUGGUGAGGUAACGGCUCACCAAGGCGACGAUCAGUAGCCGAACUGAGAGGUUGACCGGCCACAUUGGGACUGAGACACGGCCCAAACUCCUACGGGAGGCAGCAGUGGGGAAUAUUGCACAAUGGGGGAAACCCUGAUGCAGCGACGCCGCGUGAGUGACGAAGUAUUUCGGUACGUAAAGCUCUAUCAGCAGGGAAGAAAAUGACGGUACCUGACUAAGAAGCCCCGGCUAACUACGUGCCAGCAGCCGCGGUAAUACGUAGGGGGCAAGCGUUAUCCGGAUUUACUGGGUGUAAAGGGAGCGUAGGUGGUAUGGUAAGUCAGAAGUGAAAACUCAGGGCUCGACCCUGGGAUUGCUUUUGAAACUAUCAAACUAGAGUGCAGGAGGGGUAAGCGGAAUUCCUAGUGUAGCGGUGAAAUGCGUAGAUAUUAGGAAGAACACCAGCGGCGAAGGCGGCUUACUGGACUGUAACUGACACUGAGGCUCGAAAGCGUGGGGAGCAAACAGGAUUAGAUACCCUGGUAGUCCACGCCGUAAAUGAUGAAUACUAGCUGUUGGGAGGCAUAGCCUUUCAGUGGCGCAGUUAACGCAUUAAGUAUUCUACCUGGGGAGUACGUUCGCAAGAAUGAAACUCAAAGGAAUUGACGGGGACCCGCACAAGCGGUGGAGCAUGUGGUUUAAUUCGACGCAACGCGAAGAACCUUACCAGACCUUGACAUCCCUCUGACAGAAUGUGUAAUGCAUUUUCCUUCGGGCAGAGGAGACAGGUGGUGCAUGGUUGUCGUCAGCUCGUGUCGUGAGAUGUUGGGUUAAGUCCCGCAACGAGCGCAACCCUUGCCCUUAGUAGCCAGCAGGUAAAGCUGGGCACUCUAGGGGGACUGCCGGAGAUAAUCCGGAGGAAGGUGGGGAUGACGUCAAAUCAUCAUGCCCCUUACGGUCUGGGCUACACACGUGCUACAAUGGCAGUUACAAACUGAAGCGAACCUGCGAGGGGGAGCAAACCAGAAAAAGGCUGUCCCAGUUCGGACUGUAGUCUGCAACUCGCCUACACGAAGCUGGAAUCGCUAGUAAUCGCGGAUCAGCAUGCCACGGUGAAUAAGUUCCCGGGCCUUGCACUCACCGCCCGUCA
RNAcentral lists this ribosomal RNA (1406 nucleotides) under uncultured bacterium. RNAcentral describes it as "bacterial SSU rRNA". It matches the Rfam family "Bacterial small subunit ribosomal RNA". The record is from RNAcentral.